UGUGGGGAAUGGUCAAUACCAAGGCAAAUUCUGCUUCAGAAUCACCUAACCACCAAUAAAUCAUUACGAAUGCCAAUGAAUGUGUAACCCCUGUGAGGUUAAUUGGUUUAGCCCAGUGGCGUGGAGUCAGAAGCUAGAGGCAGGCUGCUGAGGAGGAGGCUGUUUGCUGGGGAGCUUAAUAAAUUAUAAGCUCUUACCACCUUGAAUACGGGCUAUCAUUCCCAACAAGAAGACGGAAGCCUGGGGUACAGUCGCUUCAAAUGGAUGAGCGAGGACUCAUCACUUCUUGGAUGUGGAACUGUUCGCCUUUUCAAGGACAUUGUUGAUUUGGAGGGGGGUUUUUUGGAUGGUUGCACUUAAGAGUUAAUUUUUGUUACAGUUGUAUUUUAUUAAUUGUUAAAAAGUUUAAAAGGGUUUCUUAACAUUUUGUGAUAGUUGCUUUCUAAGCCCCAUAGAACCCAUGACAAGAGAAAUUACAAAUGCUUUUGUAGCUGCAUUCUGAUCUGUGAACCAUUAAUCAUGAUCUUCUGAGUAGACUAGUUACUGUG
Molecule: long non-coding RNA, 548 nt
Organism: Eublepharis macularius
Lineage: Eukaryota; Metazoa; Chordata; Lepidosauria; Squamata; Eublepharidae
Exons: 2
Source: RefSeq, a predicted model, not a curated record